GAGUUUGAUCCUGGCUCAGGAUGAACGCUGGCGGCGUGCCUAAUACAUGCAAGUCGAGCGAACGGACGAGAAGCUUGCUUCUCUGAUGUUAGCGGCGGACGGGUGAGUAACACGUGGAUAACCUACCUAUAAGACUGGGAUAACUUCGGGAAACCGGAGCUAAUACCGGAUAAUAUUUUGAACCGCAUGGUUCAAAAGUGAAAGACGGUCUUGCUGUCACUUAUAGAUGGAUCCGCGCUGCAUUAGCUAGUUGGUAAGGUAACGGCUUACCAAGGCAACGAUGCAUAGCCGACCUGAGAGGGUGAUCGGCCACACUGGAACUGAGACACGGUCCAGACUCCUACGGGAGGCAGCAGUAGGGAAUCUUCCGCAAUGGGCGAAAGCCUGACGGAGCAACGCCGCGUGAGUGAUGAAGGUCUUCGGAUCGUAAAACUCUGUUAUUAGGGAAGAACAUAUGUGUAAGUAACUGUGCACAUCUUGACGGUACCUAAUCAGAAAGCCACGGCUAACUACGUGCCAGCAGCCGCGGUAAUACGUAGGUGGCAAGCGUUAUCCGGAAUUAUUGGGCGUAAAGCGCGCGUAGGCGGUUUUUUAAGUCUGAUGUGAAAGCCCACGGCUCAACCGUGGAGGGUCAUUGGAAACUGGAAAACUUGAGUGCAGAAGAGGAAAGUGGAAUUCCAUGUGUAGCGGUGAAAUGCGCAGAGAUAUGGAGGAACACCAGUGGCGAAGGCGACUUUCUGGUCUGUAACUGACGCUGAUGUGCGAAAGCGUGGGGAUCAAACAGGAUUAGAUACCCUGGUAGUCCACGCCGUAAACGAUGAGUGCUAAGUGUUAGGGGGUUUCCGCCCCUUAGUGCUGCAGCUAACGCAUUAAGCACUCCGCCUGGGGAGUACGACCGCAAGGUUGAAACUCAAAGGAAUUGACGGGGACCCGCACAAGCGGUGGAGCAUGUGGUUUAAUUCGAAGCAACGCGAAGAACCUUACCAAAUCUUGACAUCCUUUGACAACUCUAGAGAUAGAGCNUUCCCCUUCGGGGGACAAAGUGACAGGUGGUGCAUGGUUGUCGUCAGCUCGUGUCGUGAGAUGUUGGGUUAAGUCCCGCAACGAGCGCAACCCUUAAGCUUAGUUGCCAUCAUUAAGUUGGGCACUCUAAGUUGACUGCCGGUGACAAACCGGAGGAAGGUGGGGAUGACGUCAAAUCAUCAUGCCCCUUAUGAUUUGGGCUACACACGUGCUACAAUGGACAAUACAAAGGGCAGCGAAACCGCGAGGUCAAGCAAAUCCCAUAAAGUUGUUCUCAGUUCGGAUUGUAGUCUGCAACUCGACUACAUGAAGCUGGAAUCGCUAGUAAUCGUAGAUCAGCAUGCUACGGUGAAUACGUUCCCGGGUCUUGUACACACCGCCCGUCACACCACGAGAGUUUGUAACACCCGAAGCCGGUGGAGUAACCUUUUAGGAGCUAGCCGUCGAAG
This 1472-nucleotide ribosomal RNA is filed under the name Staphylococcus aureus. RNAcentral describes it as "16S ribosomal RNA". It matches the Rfam family "Bacterial small subunit ribosomal RNA". Lineage: Bacteria; Bacillati; Bacillota; Bacilli; Caryophanales; Staphylococcaceae. The record is from RNAcentral.